AGGAUGAACGCUGGCGGCGUGCCUAACACAUGCAAGUCGAACGUCCUGUCUCGCAAGAGGCAGGGGGUGGCGGACGGGUGAGUACCACGUGGGUCAUCUACCGUGAGGUGAGGAAUACCGGCGAGAAAUCGCCGACAAGACCGCAUAGCCUCGGUGCAAGUCGAGGAAAGCUCUCUCGAGAGAGGGAGCGCCACACGAGGAGCCUGCGCCCGAUUAGCUAGCUGGUGGAGUAACGGUUCACCAGGGCGACGAUCGGUAGCUGGUCUGAGAGGACGAUCAGCCACACUGGGAUUGAGAACGGCCCAGACUCCUACGGGGGGCAGCAGUGAGGAAUUUUCGUCAAUGGGGGCAACCCUGAACGAGCAACGCCGCGUGCAGGAAGAAGGUUUUCGGAUCGUAAACUGCUUUUCUCGGGGAAGAGAACGGACGGUACCCGAGGAAUCAGCCCCGGCUAACUACGUGCCAGCAGCCGC
RNAcentral lists this ribosomal RNA (473 nucleotides) under uncultured bacterium. RNAcentral describes it as "SSU rRNA". It matches the Rfam family "Bacterial small subunit ribosomal RNA", at positions 26 to 518 of the family's 1533-position model. The record is from RNAcentral.